GACGAACGCUGGCGGCGUGCUUAACACAUGCAAGUCGAACGGAAAGGCCUCUUUCGGGGGGUACUCGAGUGGCGAACGGGUGAGUAACACGUGAGUAACCUGCCCUCGACUUUGGGAUAACUUCAGGAAACUGGGGCUAAUAUCGGAUAGGAGCUCCUGCUGCACGGUGGGGGUUGGAAAGUUUCGGCGGUUGGGGAUGGACUCGCGGCUUAUCAGCUUGUUGGUGGGGUAGUGGCUUACCAAGGCUUUGACGGGUAGCCGGCCUGGGAGGGUGACCGGCCACAUUGGGGCUGAGAUACGGCCCAGACUCCUACGGGAGGCAGCAGUGGGGAAUAUUGCACAAUGGGUGGAGGCCUGAUGCAGCAACGCCGUGUGCGGGAUGACGGCCUUCGGGUUGUAAACCGCUUUCGCUCAUGACGAAGCUUUGUGUGACGGUAGUGGGUAAAGAAGCACCGGCUAACUACGUG
Molecule: ribosomal RNA, 467 nt
Filed under: uncultured bacterium
Lineage: Bacteria
Description: partial 16S ribosomal RNA
Rfam family: Bacterial small subunit ribosomal RNA
Source: RNAcentral